Molecule: unclassified non-coding RNA, 370 nt
Filed under: uncultured bacterium
Lineage: Bacteria
Description: contains 16S-23S intergenic spacer region
Source: RNAcentral
UCCGGUUUGUCACCGGCAGUCUCAUUAGAGUGCCCUUGCGUAGCAACUAAUGAUAAGGGUUGCGCUCGUUGCGGGACUUAACCCAACACCUCACGACACGAGCUGACGACAGCCAUGCACCACCUGUGCACUGGCCCCGAAGGGCUGCCGUAUUUCUACGACAUUCCAGUGCAUGUCAAGCCCUGGUAAGGUUCUUCGCGUCGCGUCGAAUUAAACAACAUGCUCCACCGCUUGUGCGGGUCCCCGUCAAUUCCUUUGAGUUUUAAUCUUGCGACCGUACUCCCCAGGCGGUGUGCUUAAUGGUUUCCCUCCGCCGCCGAAGCCCUAAGGACUCCAACAGCUAGCACACAUGGUUUACGGCGUGGACUAC